UGUUAUAAAUUAGUGGACACUGGGUAUUGAAAACUGCAGAUAGGUGUCCCAAAUUCACCAUUUUAGGACCUCUCCCCCUCUCUUUCUCUCUCAUUUUCUUGAGGUAGUUAGGCUUAAUUUCUAGCUAGAGUUAUAGUAGUGGCAUCGAAGGAAGAGAAGGGGUGUGUGUGAGCAAGAUGGAGAAGCAGGGCACGUGCACUACUAACUCAUGCACACAGAGAGGGAGACGCAUUUCUUGCUGGAGUUACGAGUUACGACUCUUACCUACUAUUGAUUUUGUUAGCUCCAGUGAGUUAGUUAUUCAUGUGCCUGUCUUCCUCAUCAUGAUCACUACCACACCUAGCUAUAUUGCUCCAUCUCGGGCACUUCGAGUAGGAGAAUCUCCAGUUCAGGUGCUGAAUCCAUGCAUGCAGGGUUAGCUUCCUUUUCUCUACUCCUUCCACCAUUAAUUAAGUGGUAGAGGUUGUUAAAGAGGGUGUCUGUCAAUGCUGCUCUCAUUCUUCACCAAUAAGAAGAAUUAGGGAAACAUGGAGCAAACCAACUGAGGCCUGAUUUUCCAAGAAACGUGUGGGAUAUAGCACUUUGGGGGCUACCAUGUAGGGGACAGUACAAGAUAGCAGCAAAAGCCACCGUAUAAAAUGUCUCUGUUCCGUCAAAAUAUGUAGCUCUUUUCCCUCUCAUCCUCGUCGGAAUGACAAUGAAAUGCCAUUCACAGCAUCUUGCCUUCUUAUUAGAAAAUGAUAUAUGGCCUUUUACAUGUAAUGCAUAUCUUUCGUUUUGCUCUUUGCUCCUUCGUUAAGUUAUCAUUUUCACUUUUUCAACGAUUAUAUAUGUUGCCUUUUAUAUGUAACGUAAAUCUUUCAUUUU
This is a long non-coding RNA of Populus trichocarpa (black cottonwood), 867 nucleotides long. RefSeq lists it as uncharacterized. The record is from RefSeq and is a predicted model, not a curated record. Lineage: Eukaryota; Viridiplantae; Streptophyta; Magnoliopsida; Malpighiales; Salicaceae. The transcript is spliced from 2 exons.